RNAcentral lists this ribosomal RNA (200 nucleotides) under uncultured bacterium. RNAcentral describes it as "partial 16S ribosomal RNA". It matches the Rfam family "Bacterial small subunit ribosomal RNA", at positions 8 to 200 of the family's 1533-position model. The record is from RNAcentral.
AGAGUUUGAUCAUGGCUCAGGACGAACGCUGGCGGCGUGCCUAAUACAUGCAAGUCGAGCGGAUCGAUUACCUCUUUCGGGAGGGAAUCGGUUAGCGGCGGACGGGUGAGUAACACGUGGGCAACCUGCCCGUAAGUUCGGGAUAACUGUCGGAAACGGCAGCUAAUACCGAAUAAUUGGUUUUCUCGCAUGAGGAGAUC